RNAcentral lists this ribosomal RNA (529 nucleotides) under uncultured bacterium. RNAcentral's name for it is "bacterial SSU rRNA". It matches the Rfam family "Bacterial small subunit ribosomal RNA", at positions 8 to 526 of the family's 1533-position model. The record is from RNAcentral.
AGAGUUUGAUCAUGGCUCAGAUUGAACGCUGGCGGCAGGCCUAACACAUGCAAGUCGAACGGUAGCACAGAGGAGCUUGCUCCUUGGGUGACGAGUGGCGGACGGGUGAGUAAUGUCUGGGAAACUGCCCGAUGGAGGGGGAUAACUACUGGAAACGGUAGCUAAUACCGCAUAACGUCGCAAGACCAAAGAGGGGGACCUUCGGGCCUCGCACCAUCAGAUGAACCCAUAUGGGAUUAGCUAGUAGGUGGGGUAACGGCUCACCUAGGCGACGAUCCCUAGCUGGUCUGAGAGGAUGAUCAGCCACACUGGGACUGAGACACGGCCCAGACUCCUACGGGAGGCAGCAGUGGGGAAUAUUGCACAAUGGGCGCAAGCCUGAUGCAGCCGUGCCGCGUGUAUGAAGAAGGCCUUCGGGUUGUAAAGUACUUUCAGUCGGGAGGAAGGUGUUAAGGUUAAUAACCUUGGUGAUUGACGUUACUCGCAGAAGAAGCACCGGCUAACUCCGUGCCAGCAGCCGCGGUAAUAC